This 252-nucleotide ribosomal RNA is filed under the name uncultured bacterium. RNAcentral's name for it is "partial 16S ribosomal RNA". It matches the Rfam family "Bacterial small subunit ribosomal RNA", at positions 524 to 776 of the family's 1533-position model. The record is from RNAcentral.
UACGUAGGGGGCUAGCGUUAUCCGGAUUUAUUGGGCAUAAAGGGCACGCAGGCGGUGAUUUAAGUCAGAUGUAAAAUCCUACAGCUCAACUGUAGUUGGCAUUUGAUACUGGAUCACUAGAGAUCAGGAGAGGAAAGUGGAACUCAUAGUGUAGCGGUGAAAUGCGUAGAUAUUAUGAGGAACACCAGUGGCGAAGGCGGCUUUCUGGACUGAUUCUGACGCUCAGGUGCGAAAGCGUGGGGAGCAAACGGG